This 95-nucleotide ribosomal RNA is filed under the name uncultured bacterium. RNAcentral describes it as "partial 16S ribosomal RNA". It matches the Rfam family "Bacterial small subunit ribosomal RNA", at positions 1390 to 1482 of the family's 1533-position model. The record is from RNAcentral.
CCGCCCGUCACAUCACGAAAGUGGGCUGUACUAGAAGUCACUGAGCUAACCCGCAAGGGGGGCAGGUGCCGACGGUAUGGCUCAUGAUUGGGGUG